Long non-coding RNA from Dermacentor silvarum, 864 nucleotides. RefSeq lists it as uncharacterized. NCBI's taxonomy places the organism in Eukaryota, Metazoa, Arthropoda, Arachnida, Ixodida, Ixodidae. The record is from RefSeq and is a predicted model, not a curated record. The transcript is spliced from 3 exons.
GUGAGUGCCAAUGAGUGUGAGUGCAGGUGAGUGCGAGUGAGUGCCUGUGAGUGUGAGUGCAGGUGAUGCGAGUGUGAGUGAGUACUAGUGAGUGUGAGUGCAGGUGAGUGCGAGUGCGAGUGAGUGCCAAUGAGUGUGAGUGCAGGUGAGUGCGAGUGAGUGCCAAUGAGUGUGAGUGCAGGUGAGUGCGAGUGAGUACCAGUGAGUGUGAGUGCAGGUGAGUGCGAGUGAGGGCUUGUGAGUGUGAGUGCAGGUGAGUGCCAGUGAGUGUGAGUGGAGGUGAGUGUGACUGCGAGUGAGUGCCAGUGAGUGCGAGUGGAAGUGAGUGUGAGUGCCAGAGAGUGCCAGUGACUGUGAGUGGAAGUGAGUGCGAGUGAGUGCCAAUGAGUGUGAGUGCAGGUGAGUGCGAUUGAGUGCCAGUGAGUGUGAGUGGAGGUGAGUGUGAGUGCGAGUGAGUGCGAGUGGAAGUGAGUAUGAAUGAGUGCCAGUGAGUGCGAGUGGAAGUGAGUGUGAGUGCGAGUGAGUGCCAGUGAGUGUGAGUGGAAGUGAGUGCGAGUGCCAGAGAGUGCCAGUGACUGUGAGUGGAAGUGAGUGCGAGUGUGAGUGAGUGCCAAUGAGUGUGAGUGCAGGUGAGUGCGAGUGAGUGCCAGUGAGUGUGAGUGCAGGUGAUGCGAGUGUGAGUACUAGUGAGUGUGAGUGCAGGUGAGUGCGAGUGCGAGUGAGUGCCAAUGAGUGUGAGUGCGAGUGAGUGCCAAUGAGUGUGAGUGCAGGUGAGUGCGAGUGAGUGCCUGUGAGUGUGAGUGCAGGUGAUGCGAGUGUGAGUGAGUACUAGUGAGUGUGAGUGCAGGUGAGUGCGAGUGCGAG